This 83-nucleotide transfer RNA is filed under the name Minisyncoccota bacterium. Its description in RNAcentral is "tRNA-Leu". It matches the Rfam family "tRNA". Rfam says of the family: Transfer RNA (tRNA) molecules are approximately 80 nucleotides in length. Their secondary structure includes four short double-helical elements and three loops (D, anti-codon, and T loops). Further hydrogen bonds mediate the characteristic L-shaped molecular structure. tRNAs have two regions of fundamental functional importance: the anti-codon, which is responsible for specific mRNA codon recognition, and the 3' end, to which the tRNAs corresponding amino acid is attached (by aminoacyl-tRNA synthetases). tRNAs cope with the degeneracy of the genetic code in two manners: having more than one tRNA (with a specific anti-codon) for a particular amino acid; and 'wobble' base-pairing, i.e. permitting non-standard base-pairing at the 3rd anti-codon position. Lineage: Bacteria; Bacillati; Minisyncoccota. The record is from RNAcentral.
GCCGGGGUGGUGUAAUGGUAGCCACGAGAGACUUAAAAUUUCUUGGUCGCAAGACCGUGUGGGUUCAAGUCCCACCCCCGGCA